Molecule: ribosomal RNA, 400 nt
Filed under: uncultured bacterium
Lineage: Bacteria
Description: bacterial SSU rRNA
Rfam family: Bacterial small subunit ribosomal RNA
Source: RNAcentral
GGGGAAUAUUGCACAAUGGGGGAAACCCUGAUGCAGCGACGCCGCGUGGAGGAAGAAGGUCUUCGGAUUGUAAACUCCUGUUGUUGAGGAAGAUAAUGACGGUACUCAACAAGGAAGUGACGGCUAACUACGUGCCAGCAGCCGCGGUAAAACGUAGGUCACAAGCGUUGUCCGGAAUUACUGGGUGUAAAGGGAGCGCAGGCGGGAAGACAAGUUGGAAGUGAAAUCUAUGGGCUCAACCCAUAAACUGCUUUCAAAACUGUUUUUCUUGAGUAGUGCAGAGGUAGGCGGAAUUCCCGGUGUAGCGGUGGAAUGCGUAGAUAUCGGGAGGAACACCAGUGGCGAAGGCGGCCUACUGGGCACCAACUGACGCUGAGGCUCGAAAGUGUGGGUAGCAAAC